This 724-nucleotide long non-coding RNA is filed under the name Anas platyrhynchos platyrhynchos (common mallard). RNAcentral describes it as "lncRNA (ENSAPLG00000023156.1)". The record is from RNAcentral. Lineage: Eukaryota; Metazoa; Chordata; Aves; Anseriformes; Anatidae.
UUGGGGUUUUGUACCCCUGGGGGGGGGGAAAGGGGACAACCUCCGUGUCUGGGGCACGGGGAGGUGUGGGGAACCCAAAUCCAUCAGGGUGACCCGAAUAGGGGACCCCAAAUCCAUCAGGGUGCCCCAAAUCCACUGGGGGCCCUGUCUUAAGCGUGGCACCCCAGAAGCGUGUGGGGACCCCGAAUCCACCAAGGCACCCCAAAUAGGGGACCCCAAAUCCUCCGGGGCACCCUAAAUCCAUCAGGAGCCUCAUCCUAAGUGGGGUACCCCAGAAGUGUGUAGGGACCCCGAAUCCACUAUGGCACCCCAAAUAGGGAAACCCAAAUCCACCAGGGGACCCAUCCUAAGUGAGGCACCCCAGAUGUGUGUGGAGACCCCGAAUCCACCAAGGCAUCCCAAAUAGGGGACCCCAAAUCCACCAGGAGCCUCAUCCUAAGCAGGGCACCCCAGAAGUGUGUGGGGACCCCAAACCCACCAGCGUACCCCAAGACUUUUGGGACCCUCACCCCCAAUCAGGGCAUCCCAAGCAAAGCACCCCAAAUCUGUCAGGGUCCUCGUCCUAACCAGGGCACCCCAAUUGGGUUUGGGAUCCCCAAAUCCCUCGGGGCUUCCCAAACCCAACCAGGGCGCCCCAAGCCCAUCAGGGCCCCCACCCUAACCUGGGCACCCCAAAAAUUUUAGGGUUGCUGCACACAUCAGGGUGCCCUAAACCAGGACACCC